This 245-nucleotide long non-coding RNA is filed under the name Theobroma cacao (cacao). Its description in RNAcentral is "long non-coding RNA (TCAC_LNC006053)". The record is from RNAcentral. Lineage: Eukaryota; Viridiplantae; Streptophyta; Magnoliopsida; Malvales; Malvaceae.
UAUACUACAAUGAAAAGGAAUUAUGAUUGUGUCUCGGCAAAAUCAUCAGAAAAGGGUAAAUGCUGUUGUGAUUGAGGAUGUGAUUGCUGUAAUGAUGAAAACUCACCAGCUAGAUUUGGAAGCCUCUCAAAUAUAACUUUCAUGAUGGACUUAAUUUGAUGCAUGUCAAGUCUUCAACUUUUUCACAUCACUCUUCAUUUCUUGAUAGCCCUUAGGUCAGACGAAGAAACCUGUGCAGCAUCAGC